RNAcentral lists this RNase P RNA (367 nucleotides) under Candidatus Methanoperedens sp. Its description in RNAcentral is "RNase P RNA component". It matches the Rfam family "Archaeal RNase P". From Rfam's summary of the family: Ribonuclease P (RNase P) is a ubiquitous endoribonuclease, found in archaea, bacteria and eukarya as well as chloroplasts and mitochondria. Its best characterised activity is the generation of mature 5'-ends of tRNAs by cleaving the 5'-leader elements of precursor-tRNAs. The record is from RNAcentral. Lineage: Archaea; Methanobacteriati; Methanobacteriota; Methanomicrobia; Methanosarcinales; Candidatus Methanoperedentaceae.
GAGAGAGGAAGGGCGGCUGCCGGCAGCAAUGCUGAGGAAAGUCCCCUCACCAUCUGGACCGCGGAUGCACGCAAGUGCGUAGGGCGAGAGUCCUGGCUCUGGAACAGAAACGAUACCGCUGCGCAGUAAUGCGAUGAACCCGAAAGGGCGAGGUCAUGCGCUUUUGAAAAUUCCGUUUUCAAAGCUCAAAAAGCUUCACGGAUUUUCAAAGCGGAUGGAACGGCGAAUCCACGCGGGUGUAAGCCGAAACAGGGCAAAAAGGGCAGUCCAGACCUGCCCGAGUACGGCGCAUAGCUGAAUGCCGCAUGGGCGCCACAGGGGCACUCGCUCCUUGCGCCAAACAUAAAGGGGCUUACUCUCCUCACUC